This 670-nucleotide ribosomal RNA is filed under the name uncultured bacterium. RNAcentral's name for it is "bacterial SSU rRNA". It matches the Rfam family "Bacterial small subunit ribosomal RNA", at positions 66 to 751 of the family's 1533-position model. The record is from RNAcentral.
GAGGUAGAUGGAGCUUGCUCUAUGUACCUUAGCAGCGAACGGGUGAGUAACACGUAGAUAAUCUGUCCUAUAUUGGGGGAUAGCCCGAUGAAAGUUGGAUUAAUACCGCAUACAGCUAUAUAGUUGCAUGAUUAUAUAGUGAAAGAUUUAUUGAUAUAGGAGGAGUCUGCGGCACAUUAGCUAGUAGGUGAGGUAAGAGCUUACCUAGGCGACGAUGUGUAGCCGGUCUGAGAGGAUGAACGGCCACAAUGGAACUGAGACACGGUCCAUACUCCUACGGGAGGCAGCAGUGGGGAAUAUUGCACAAUGGGGGAAACCCUGAUGCAGCAACGCCGCGUGAGUGAAGAAGGUUUUCGGAUUGUAAAGCUCUGUUAGCAGGGAAGAGGAAGGACGGUACCUGCAGAGGAAGCCACGGCUAACUACGUGCCAGCAGCCGCGGUAAUACGUAGGUGGCAAGCGUUGUUCGGAAUAACUGGGCGUAAAGGAUGCGUAGGCGGUUAAAUAAGUUAUAUGUUAAAUAUAUAGGCUUAACCUGUAGAAAGCAUAUAAAACUGUUUAACUAGAGUGCAGGAGAGGUAAGUGGAAUUCCUAGUGUAGCGGUGAAAUGCGUAGAGAUUAGGAAGAACACCAGUGGCGAAGGCGACUUACUGGACUGUAACUGACGCUGAGG